GAUGAAGAACGUAGCGAAAUGCGAUAAGUAAUGUGAAUUGCAGAAUUCAGUGAACCAUCGAAUCUUUGAACGCACAUUGCGCCCGGCAGUAAUCUGCCGGGCAUGCCUGUCCGAGCGUCAUUUCUGCCCUCGAGCGAGUCCAGCAUCUAGGUGCUGGGCCCGCCCGGCGUUGGGGCACUACGGGAAGCCCUGUGCUGUCUCCCGUAGGCCCCGAAAUGAAGUGGCGGUCCUGCCGCGGCGCCCCCUGCGUAGUAUAACAGCUCGCUUCGGGACCCGGUGGAGGCCUGCCGUCAAACCUUACUCUCUAAGUUUGACCUCGGAUCAGGUAGGGUUACCCGCUGAACUUAAGCAUAUCAAUAAGCGGAGGA
Molecule: unclassified non-coding RNA, 368 nt
Filed under: soil metagenome
Description: partial contains 5.8S ribosomal RNA, internal transcribed spacer 2, and large subunit ribosomal RNA
Rfam family: 5.8S ribosomal RNA (bases 1-120)
Source: RNAcentral